Molecule: ribosomal RNA, 485 nt
Filed under: uncultured bacterium
Lineage: Bacteria
Description: bacterial SSU rRNA
Rfam family: Bacterial small subunit ribosomal RNA
Source: RNAcentral
AGAUUGAACGCUGGNGGCAGGCCUAACACAUGCAAGUCGAGCGGUAGAGAGGUGCUUGCAUCUCUUGAGAGCGGCGGACGGGUGAGUAAUGCCUAGGAAUCUGCUAGUGGUGGGGGAUAACGUUCGGAAACGGACGCUAAUACCGCAUACGUCCUACGGGAGAAAGCGGGGGAUCUUCGGACCUCGCGCCAUUAGAUGAGCCUAGGUCGGAUUAGCUAGUUGGUGAGGUAAUGGCUCACCAAGGCGACGAUCCGUAACUGGUCUGAGAGGAUGAUCAGUCACACUGGAACUGAGACACGGUCCAGACUCCUACGGGAGGCAGCAGUGGGGAAUAUUGGACAAUGGGCGAAAGCCUGAUCCAGCCAUGCCGCGUGUGUGAAGAAGGUCUUCGGAUUGUAAAGCACUUUAAGUUGGGAGGAAGGGUAGUAACCUAAUACGUUGCUACUUUGACGUUACCGACAGAAUAAGCACCGGCUAACUUCGUG